Molecule: ribosomal RNA, 929 nt
Filed under: Acinetobacter sp. 13_SBR2
Lineage: Bacteria; Pseudomonadati; Pseudomonadota; Gammaproteobacteria; Moraxellales; Moraxellaceae
Description: bacterial SSU rRNA
Rfam family: Bacterial small subunit ribosomal RNA
Source: RNAcentral
ACACAUGCAGUCGAGCGGGGGANAUUGCUUCGGUAAUUGACCUAGCGGCGGACGGGUGAGUAAUACUUAGGAAUCUGCCUAUUAAUGGGGGACAACAUCUCGAAAGGGAUGCUAAUACCGCAUACGCCCUACGGGGGAAAGCAGGGGAUCACUUGUGACCUUGCGUUAAUAGAUGAGCCUAAGUCGGAUUAGCUAGUUGGUGGGGUAAAGGCCUACCAAGGCGACGAUCUGUAGCGGGUCUGAGAGGAUGAUCCGCCACACUGGGACUGAGACACGGCCCAGACUCCUACGGGAGGCAGCAGUGGGGAAUAUUGGACAAUGGGGGGAACCCUGAUCCAGCCAUGCCGCGUGUGUGAAGAAGGCCUUAUGGUUGUAAAGCACUUUAAGCGAGGAGGAGGCUCUCUUGGUUAAUACCCAAGAAGAGUGGACGUUACUCGCAGAAUAAGCACCGGCUAACUCUGUGCCAGCAGCCGCGGUAAUACAGAGGGUGCGAGCGUUAAUCGGAUUUACUGGGCGUAAAGCGUGCGUAGGCGGCUUUUUAAGUCGGAUGUGAAAUCCCCGAGCUUAACUUGGGAAUUGCAUUCGAUACUGGGAAGCUAGAGUAUGGGAGAGGAUGGUAGAAUUCCAGGUGUAGCGGUGAAAUGCGUAGAGAUCUGGAGGAAUACCGAUGGCGAAGGCAGCCAUCUGGCCUAAUACUGACGCUGAGGUACGAAAGCAUGGGGAGCAAACAGGAUUAGAUACCCUGGUAGUCCAUGCCGUAAACGAUGUCUACUAGCCGUUGGGGCCUUUGAGGCUUUAGUGGCGCAGCUAACGCGAUAAGUAGACCGCCUGGGGGAGUACGGUCGCAAGACUAAAACUCAAAUGAAUUGACGGGGGCCCGCACAAGCGGUGGAGCAUGUGGUUUAAUUCGAUGCAACGCGANAAACCUU